CACCAACACAAAGCUUCAUCUAAACACUCACACUCUUUCUAUUCCUAUUGAUCAGUUGCUAGAAGCUAUGUCAAUACUUAGUGUCCCCACUCCCCUGCCUCCCACUUCUUGCUUUUCCUCUCAUCUGAUUUCUUUUCUGUUCCAUAAUGCCACCAAUGUAAGUUCCUGCUAAGUUGUCAAUGCCUUUCAUGCUCCUAAAUACAAUCCAGUUACCAUUUGUCUUCCCAGAAGUGUCAGAAUUGAUGGCCAUCUUGUCUGCAUCCCACAUCACCGUAUCCCUGGUACUCAGCACUAUAAUCUCUCAAAAACUAUAUGCUGGACAAAGACUGCCUACAAGACAUUGAGGAAAGUCAGGUUCAAUGACAAAUUAGCCUACAGAGAGUUAAUCACAUAGUUUCUGCACACCAAGACACACAUGGACAAAAUAUUAUGAAAAGGGAACAGCUAGUUGUCUUUCCUUGUUGAGCCCUCAGGGGACAUGAAACCAGGACUUAGACACUCACAGUUUUGUAAACAACCCAGGGAGAAGGACUCUGAUGACAAGAAAGAGGAAACAGGAAGAGCCAGCUUGGAAACAUGAAUAUCUUGCAGAAGCUUACCAAGGAAUUGGAUAUAAACAGGACAAAAAGCAAGAAAAUAUCGGAAGAAUACGAGGUGGAAAGGUGGCAUAUGGCUGGGUGGAGACUUGGCCAUGCUGCCAGACAGCAGGCACGUCCUCUAGGUUAAACUCUCACUCCUUAGCUCCAUAGUAAGCCUGUGCUUCUGUCACUAUUAUGUAAAGCUUUCUUCCUUUCUUGUUUGCCUUUUUAUAAAUUGUGAUCCUGUAGCAUAUAUACAAUACUAACACCCCUUCUUUAUCACUAGGCCUUUGUUUUCCACCUGACUCAGAGGAUCAACAGCAAAGCUCAGAAAGAAAACUGGAAAAUUUCCAACCAUUCGGUAGGUACAAACUUAGCCAUCUCUCAUUGUCAUUUCUUUUAAGAAAUACACUUUU
RNAcentral lists this long non-coding RNA (994 nucleotides) under Cricetulus griseus (Chinese hamster). Its description in RNAcentral is "lncRNA (ENSCGRG00000024930.1)". Lineage: Eukaryota; Metazoa; Chordata; Mammalia; Rodentia; Cricetidae. The record is from RNAcentral.